UACGAAGGGGGCUAGCGUUGCUCGGAAUCACUGGGCGUAAAGGGUGCGUAGGCGGGUUUUUAAGUCAGGGGUGAAAUCCUGGAGCUCAACUCCAGAACUGCCUUUGAUACUGAGGAGCUUGAGUCCGGGAGAGGUGAGUGGAACUGCGAGUGUAGAGGUGAAAUUCGUAGAUAUUCGCAAGAACACCAGUGGCGAAGGCGGCUCACUGGCCCGGUACUGACGCUGAGGUGCGAAAGCGUGGGGAGCAAACAGG
Molecule: ribosomal RNA, 253 nt
Filed under: uncultured bacterium
Lineage: Bacteria
Description: partial 16S ribosomal RNA
Rfam family: Bacterial small subunit ribosomal RNA
Source: RNAcentral